CUCUUUAACCUAUCUAUGUUAGCGCGUCAAGCAUGGAGACUCCUUCAGAAUCCCGACACUCUCAGCGCACGCGUCUUAAAGAGCGUAUACUACCCUGAUACGGAUAUUUUGCAUGCAAAUCUUGGCGGUCAUCCAGGUCAGGUAUGGCGUGCGAGUGUUGAAGGCCGGGACGUGCUAAAGCAAGGCAUUAUCCGACGUAUAGGCAAUGGUGAAACUACGGAUAUAUGGGCUGAUACCUGGUUGCCA
RNAcentral lists this ribosomal RNA (246 nucleotides) under Triticum aestivum (bread wheat). RNAcentral's name for it is "partial small subunit ribosomal RNA". Lineage: Eukaryota; Viridiplantae; Streptophyta; Magnoliopsida; Poales; Poaceae. The record is from RNAcentral.